This 69-nucleotide transfer RNA is filed under the name Marmota monax (woodchuck). RNAcentral's name for it is "tRNA.Ala". The record is from RNAcentral. Lineage: Eukaryota; Metazoa; Chordata; Mammalia; Rodentia; Sciuridae.
GAUUGUGGCUCAGUGGCAGAGCGCUUGCCUAGCAUGUGUGAGGCCCUGGGUUCCAUCCUCAGCACAACA